UUACAAGGACGUCACACACAACACAGUGGCGCACGUGCAGUGCCGAAAGUCCUUACGUGCGUGUCGUUCUUUGGUUAUCCUUACUCAUGUGUAACGCUCACGGACCUCCCCUGAAAAAGCGCAAACCGCAGCCUCUGCCGUCGACAGAGCCGCUGCCCAUCUACCUCGACUACAACGCCACUACCCCGCUCUGCGAGGAGGCUUGGCGGGAAAUCUGUCGCGUGCACACCGCGUGGGGCAAUCCCAGCUCAACACACCCCUACGGUCUGGCGGCGAAGUACGAGUUGGAAGAGGCACGCAAGAAGGUGCAAAAAGCACUGCACGCGCCCUCAUCGGAGUCCAUUAUCUUCACCUCUGGCGGAACCGAAAGCAACAAUCUCGCCAUUAUCGGCGGCUUGCUCGCCCUGCGCCAACAGCAUCCCAGCAGACGCUAUGUCGUCUCCACCAACGUGGAGCAUCCUGCCGUGGCAGAGGUGCUAAAGUCUAUGGAAGGCAGCGACCUAGGCACCGGUGACCCAGCCAGCAUCACCGACGGCGUCGAGGCGGCGUCGCGCACCACAGUAGAGACGAUAUGCGCCGAAGUGGACCCUCAAACGGGUCGCCUUGAUGCAUCGACGCUGCGAGCGGUCCUGAAAAGUCUCCCUGGCGGUCCCGAGUCCGUCGCCCUCGUUUCCGUCAUGUUUGCGAACAACGAGAUUGGAGCCGUCAACGAUAUCAAGGCGCUGUGCCGCAUAACGAAGGAGCUCUGCGGGGCGGCGUGUCUUUUUCACACCGACGGCGCCCAGGCGUUGGGGAAGGUGCCGGUGGAUGUGCAGGACAUAAACGUUGACCUCCUUUCCGUCUGCGGACACAAAUUCCAUGGUCCGAAAGGUGUUGGGGCGCUCUACAUCAAACCCGGUGUGUCGGUGCACAACAUCCUCUUCGGCGCCGGUCAUGAGCGCAGCAUCCGGCCCGGCACGGAGAACGUGCUUCUCGCAGCGGGUAUUGCUGAGGCGCUGAUGUUUGCAUGCAAUAAUAUUGACCGCUUUUCAACUGUGAUGCGAGACACGCGUGAUGAACUGCUGCGCGUGCUCACGGCGGAGCUGGCGGCGUACGACAUGGGCCUCGUCGUCAACGGCGCCAUCGCCGUCGGUCUGCCAAACACGCUCAACUGCGCUCUUUUCAGGCGGGUGCCGAACAGGAAAACGGGCUCGCCCGUCACCUAUAUAUCAGCGCAGCGGCUGAUCUUCUCCGCCGGGGAUGAGGUGUGCAUAUCGGCAGGCUCCGCUUGCCACUCCACGGCUGAUGAAGGAACCGAAAUCCUCGUCUCUGAUACGCUCAAGGCGGUGCAGGCGAACGCGGAUCGAGCCAUCGGCACCCUGCGCAUCUCAACUGGGCGCACCACGACCAUGGAUGAAGUGCGACGAGCGGGUAGGAUAAUCGCGCGGCGGGCGGCGCAGCAGUUCGAGGAGUGAUGACAGCACUGUCUGCCUCUCUCUCUCUCCCGCGACUAUUCGCCCUCUGAAUCGCCGGCGCUGUGCGUAACGCUUCCCACAGAGCGCCGGCGGCGAUUUGCUAGUCGAGGGAGUGCGCAGGCGAACAGGCGCCUCUCGUGUCAUUGGCGCAUAAAGAAAAG
This 1615-nucleotide unclassified non-coding RNA is filed under the name Leishmania donovani. RNAcentral's name for it is "gene:LdHU3.35.3730(CDS-product:aminotransferase_p utative)". The record is from RNAcentral. Lineage: Eukaryota; Euglenozoa; Kinetoplastea; Trypanosomatida; Trypanosomatidae.